UACGGGGGGAGCAAGCGUUGUUCGGAUUUACUGGGCGUAAAGGGCGCGUAGGCGGCCACCGCAAGUCGGUUGUGAAAUCUCUGGGCUUAACCCAGAAAGGUCAACCGAUACUGCGGGGCUAGAGUGCAGAAGGGGCAACUGGAAUUCUCGGUGUAGCGGUGAAAUGCGUAGAUAUCGAGAGGAACACCUGCGGCGAAGGCGGGUUGCUGGGACGUAACUGACGCUGAGACGCGAAAGCGUGGGGAGCAAACAGG
RNAcentral lists this ribosomal RNA (254 nucleotides) under uncultured bacterium. Its description in RNAcentral is "partial 16S ribosomal RNA". It matches the Rfam family "Bacterial small subunit ribosomal RNA", at positions 524 to 776 of the family's 1533-position model. The record is from RNAcentral.